GACGUAGGGCGCGAGCGUUGUCCGGAUUUAUUGGGCGUAAAGAGCUCGUAGGCGGCUUGUUGCGUCAGCUGUGAAAACCCGCAGCUCAACUGUGGGCUUGCAGCUGAUACGGGCAGGCUUGAGUUCGGUAGGGGAGACUGGAAUUCCUGGUGUAGCGGUGAAAUGCGCAGAUAUCAGGAGGAACACCGGUGGCGAAGGCGGAUCUCUGGGCCGAUACUGACGCUGAGGAGCGAAAGCGUGGGGAGCGAACAGG
This 253-nucleotide ribosomal RNA is filed under the name uncultured bacterium. RNAcentral's name for it is "partial 16S ribosomal RNA". It matches the Rfam family "Bacterial small subunit ribosomal RNA", at positions 524 to 776 of the family's 1533-position model. The record is from RNAcentral.